Dorea sp. CAG:105 is the source of this 112-nucleotide regulatory RNA element. It matches the Rfam family "TPP riboswitch aptamer (THI element)". Rfam says of the family: Vitamin B(1) in its active form thiamin pyrophosphate (TPP) is an essential coenzyme that is synthesised by coupling of pyrimidine and thiazole moieties in bacteria. The previously detected thiamin-regulatory element, thi box was extended, resulting in a new, highly conserved RNA secondary structure, the THI element, which is widely distributed in eubacteria and also occurs in some archaea. The record is from Rfam. Lineage: Bacteria; Bacillati; Bacillota; Clostridia; Lachnospirales; Lachnospiraceae.
AUUUAAUGUUACAGGGAGCUGGUACAAAGCUGGCUGAGAGGAAACUAUAAUUUGUUUCGACCUAUAACCUGAUUUGGAUAAUGCCAACGUAGGGAAGAAUUACGGAAGAGAA